GACGAACCGUCCAAACGUUAUUCGGAAUUACUGGGCUUAAAGGGUGCGUAGGCGGUACGGUAAGUUGGGUGUGAAAUCCCUCGGCUCAACCGAGGAACUGCGCCCAAAACUACCGUACUUGAGGGAGAUAGAGGUGAGCGGAACUUAGGGUGGAGCGGUGAAAUGCGUUGAUAUCCUAAGGAACACCGGUGGCGAAAGCGGCUCACUGGAUCUCUUCUGACGCUGAGGCACGAAAGCUAGGGUAGCGAACGGG
This 253-nucleotide ribosomal RNA is filed under the name uncultured bacterium. RNAcentral describes it as "partial 16S ribosomal RNA". It matches the Rfam family "Bacterial small subunit ribosomal RNA", at positions 524 to 776 of the family's 1533-position model. The record is from RNAcentral.